This 1058-nucleotide long non-coding RNA is filed under the name Helianthus annuus (common sunflower). RNAcentral's name for it is "hypothetical non coding rna". Lineage: Eukaryota; Viridiplantae; Streptophyta; Magnoliopsida; Asterales; Asteraceae. The record is from RNAcentral.
AUGGAAAUUUCGGGGUGUGACAGCACAUUCCUUGACCUUCUGAGUCUAGACUUAACAUAGGAAUACCCUGAUUCUUAUUAGGAAAUUUAUUGCUUCCAAUUUUAUAUAUAUUUUGAAUACGUCGCCAAGCAAACAAGCCGUAUUGGAAAUCCUCUACAACUAGAGCCUUGAAAUGCUGAGCUUUGUACCGCGACUAGAAUGUAACGUGCAUCCAGGGAGAAAACAUUCAGAAAUAAAAUAAAGAAGAAAACUCCUUUUGCUAAAGAUCGUUUCUUUAAUAGUCCUUAUAAGGACAUAUUUAUCUUUCAGUCCCUUCAAGGACAACAUCAUUCUUUUCAAGUCCCGUUUAGGGCAGAUCUGUACUCUAAUUUUAUAUAGUGGAAUGAUUAACUUUAAAUUUUCAUGCUAAAACAUGAAAUAUGAAAUAAAUAAAAAUAACAUUCCUUUUAUAAAAUCUACCAUUUUAAUAGAAUGGCAAAAAUCUAAAAAGGACAAGACCUAGCCACGUGUCAUGUAAAGACAUGGCCAAGAUGGUAGUUCCUCAAUCAGAUUCAGGUCCUUAUUAACAUCUUAAUUUAGGAUUGUUCUGCGUUAAAUAUUAAAGAAAAUCUUAAAAGGCAUAACCUAGCUUGAAUGUCAUUAAAGACCUGGCUAAGAUGGAAAACCUGUUUAAAAGAGAUUCAGAUUCUUGUUAACACCUGAGAACGUGUUAGCACUCCUGACAAAAGUGAUUCGAGAAAAUCACAAUAAUCAUUCCUAUAUUGGAAUUCUUCAAACUUCCUGAUCUAGCCUAAUGAUCCAGAAAUCAUGGCUUAUAUCAUCCUAUAUGAUGAUCAUAUUAUAAACAUCCAUUAGUGAUGAAGUGCCUACGGGCUAAACUUAUUGUCCGAUAAGACAACAACAGUGGUGGUCUUUACCCCCUGUCUAAAGAUGUUGGAUUGCGUCCAAGCAUCAUAGUCGGUAGGAUCCAUACGAUCUCGACUAAUAGCAUCUGAAAAGAUAAUCAUACCAUAAACAUCCCUCAGAAGGGAAAUGCCUACGGGCUAUAUCUAUUGUCC